UACGUAGGGGGCAAGCGUUGUCCGGAAUCAUUGGGCGUAAAGAGCGUGUAGGCGGCCAGAUAAGUCCGGUGUGAAAUCUCGAGGCUCAACUUCGAGCUGUCGGUGGAAACUGUCUGGCUAGAGUCCGGAAGAGGAGAAUGGAAUUCCUGGUGUAGCGGUGAAAUGCGCAGAUAUCAGGAAGAACACCCGUGGCGAAGGCGGUUCUCUGGGACGGUACUGACGCUGAGACGCGAAAGCGUGGGGAGCGAACAGG
Molecule: ribosomal RNA, 253 nt
Filed under: uncultured bacterium
Lineage: Bacteria
Description: partial 16S ribosomal RNA
Rfam family: Bacterial small subunit ribosomal RNA
Source: RNAcentral